UCAGCACAUCCAGAGUGCAAUGGAUAAGCCUUGCCCUGGGAAAACCACCUUCGUGAUCAUGAAGAUAGGAAGAGCACAU
Long non-coding RNA from Mustela erminea (ermine), 79 nucleotides. RefSeq lists it as uncharacterized. NCBI's taxonomy places the organism in Eukaryota, Metazoa, Chordata, Mammalia, Carnivora, Mustelidae. The transcript has 3 exons. The record is from RefSeq and is a predicted model, not a curated record.